GACGAACGCUGGCGGCGUGCCUAAUACAUGCAAGUCGAACGCUUUUUCUUUCACCGGAGCUUGCUCCACCGAAAGGAAAAGAGUGGCGAACGGGUGAGUAACACGUGGGUAACCUGCCCAUCAGAAGGGGAUAACACUUGGAAACAGGUGCUAAUACCGUAUAACACUAUUUUCCGCAUGGAAGAAAGUUGAAAGGCGCUUUUGCGUCACUGAUGGAUGGACCCGCGGUGCAUUAGCUAGUUGGUGAGGUAACGGCUCACCAAGGAAACGAUGCAUAGCCGACCGGAGCGGGUGAUCGGCCACACUGGGACUGAGACACGGCCCAGACUCCUACGGGAGGCAGCAGUAGGGAAUCUUCGGCAAUGGACGAAAGUCUGACCGAGCAACGCCGCGUGAGUGAAGAAGGUUUUCGGAUCGUAAAACUCUGUUGUUAGAGAAGAACAAGGAUGAGAGUAAAAUGUUCAUCCCUUGACGGUAUCUAACCAGAAAGCCACGGCUAACUACGUGCCAGCAGCCGCAGUAA
This 523-nucleotide ribosomal RNA is filed under the name uncultured bacterium. RNAcentral describes it as "partial 16S ribosomal RNA". It matches the Rfam family "Bacterial small subunit ribosomal RNA", at positions 28 to 523 of the family's 1533-position model. The record is from RNAcentral.